CCCUUAGAUGUUCUGGGCCGCACGCGCGCUACACUGACUACUUCAACGAGUUGUUUCCUUGAUCGAAAGGUCUGGGUAAUCUUUGAAAGGUAGUCGUGAUGGGGAUAGAUCCUUGCAAUUUUUGAUCUUCAACGAGGAAUUCCUAGUAAACGCAAGUCAUCAGCUUGCAUUGAUUACGUCCCUGCCCUUUGUACACACCGCCCGUCGCACCUACCGAUUGAAUGGUCCGGUGAAUCUUUAGGACUGCGCGCGGCCUCGUGCCGUGUCGCGGAAAGUCAGGUAAACCUUAUCACUUAGAGGAAGGAGAAGUCGUAACA
RNAcentral lists this ribosomal RNA (317 nucleotides) under uncultured eukaryote. RNAcentral's name for it is "partial 18S ribosomal RNA". It matches the Rfam family "Eukaryotic small subunit ribosomal RNA", at positions 1470 to 1796 of the family's 1831-position model. The record is from RNAcentral.